Molecule: ribosomal RNA, 120 nt
Filed under: Alligator sinensis (Chinese alligator)
Lineage: Eukaryota; Metazoa; Chordata; Crocodylia; Alligatoridae
Source: RNAcentral
GCUUAUGGCCAUACAAGGCUUAAUGCACCUGGUCUCAUCUGAUUUUUGGAAACUAAGGAAUCUUGAACCUGGCUAGUAAUUGGAUAUGAGACCUCCUGGGAAUCCUAGACACGAUAGGUA